RNAcentral lists this ribosomal RNA (850 nucleotides) under Treponema sp. oral taxon G31. RNAcentral describes it as "bacterial SSU rRNA". It matches the Rfam family "Bacterial small subunit ribosomal RNA". The record is from RNAcentral. Lineage: Bacteria; Pseudomonadati; Spirochaetota; Spirochaetia; Treponematales; Treponemataceae.
CUGGUGAGUAACGCGUGGAAUGAUCUACCUUUGAGACGGGGAUAGCUUGCUAGAAAUAGGAGGUAAUACCGAAUAACCCUUAUUAUGUUAUGAACGAUAGUAAGAAAAUGGCGGCGUUCAGGCUUCCGGCUCCGAUAGGAAUAGAGGUCUGCGGUCCCAAUAUAGGCUAGGUUGGUGAGGUAAAGGCCCACCCAAGGGCGACGAAGGGUAUCCCGGCCUGAGAGGGUGAACGGGCACACAUGGGACUGAGAUACGGCCCACACUCCUACGGGAGGCAGCAGCUGAGAAUAUUCCGCAAUGGACGAAAGUCUGACGGAGCGACACCGCGUGAACGAUGAAGGCCGGAAGGUUGUAAAGUUACUUUUGCACGACAGAAGGAAUAAGGAUAGAAUGGAAAUCACUAUCUGAUGACGGUAGUUAUGCGAAUAAGCCCCGGCUAAUUACGUGCCAGCAGCCGCGGUAAUACGUAAGGGGCGAGCGUAGUUCGGAAUUAUUGGGCGUAAACGGCAUGUAGGCGGUUAUGUAAGCCUGAUGUGAAAUGUAUGAGCUUAACUCAUAAACUGCAUUGGGUACUGCUUGACUUGAAUCAUGGAAGGGAAGACUGGAAUUCCAGAGUGUACGGGUGGAAUCUGUAGGAUAUUGUGGAAAGAACACCGGUGGCAGAAGCGCGGGUUCUCUAGCCAAUAGAUUAGACGCUAAGUGUGCAGAAGCGUGCGGGGAGCAAACAGAGAUUAGUAUAACCCUGGGUAGUCCCGCACAGGUAAAAAGAAUGUUACACCUAGAGUGUUUUGGGGGUAAAGAACUCCCAGUUGCCCGGGAAGCCAAAACCGCCAAUAAUGUUGUUAACCCG